GACUGAAGAGAGAAAAUCUGGAAUGGAAUGUUGAAACUGCUCCUGUUGGGAGACCCUGGUCUGCACUCUAUCUGUAAACUUACUGAAGGGAGAGCAGGGCAGGGUUUCCCAUACAGAGGGCACAGGCUACUAAUGGGAACUCAAUUUCAAAGCCGGAAUCUACGCCAG
This 168-nucleotide unclassified non-coding RNA is filed under the name Mus musculus (house mouse). Its description in RNAcentral is "noncoding RNA TB337a.RT". The stretch from base 41 to 118 matches the Rfam family "mir-504 microRNA precursor family". The record is from RNAcentral. Lineage: Eukaryota; Metazoa; Chordata; Mammalia; Rodentia; Muridae.